Pollicipes pollicipes is the source of this 1935-nucleotide long non-coding RNA. RefSeq lists it as uncharacterized. The record is from RefSeq and is a predicted model, not a curated record. NCBI's taxonomy places the organism in Eukaryota, Metazoa, Arthropoda, Thecostraca, Pollicipedomorpha, Pollicipedidae. The transcript has 3 exons.
CGCAAGACGACGACAGCGCGCAAGGUGUUCGGCGGGCUCACGCGGCUGUUCUCGUUGCUGGGUCGACGUAAGCGCUCGAUAGACUCGGGGUCGCUCUGUGACUUCCGCGAGCCCUGUCUGGCGCUCGAGGCGAUGGACGCUGGUAACCUGGAGCGGUGGAUUGAAAACAGGUUCCCCCAGUCGGACGGCGUCUGGAGGACGGUGCCGCGGCUCCGCGACCUGGUCGGCCAGCUGCGGCAGCUGCAGCUGGCCGAGCAACCGCUCGACCGGCUGCGACGCCAGCGCGUCUGUCGAGCCAUCGGCCGCCGCUGCCGCGCCGACGCCGCACGGACGUGAGGCCGUCGACGACGGCAGACGGGAUAGCACCGCGGACAGACGGGACAGCACCGUGGACAGACGGGACAGCGUCGCGGACAGACGGGACAGCACCGCGGACAGACGGGACAGCGCCGCGGACAGACGGGACAGCGCCGCGGACAGACGGGACAGCACCGCGGACAGACGGGACAGCACCGCGGAUCGACGGGACAGGACCGGGACAGAUGGGACAUACGGGACAGACCGGGACAGACGGGAUAGCACCGAAGAAAAACGGGACAGCAUCGGAAACAGACGGGACGGCACUGCACACGGACGGCACCAGGGACAUACGGGACAGCACCGCGGAUCGAUGGGGCAGCACCGGGACAGACGGGGCAGACCGGGACAGACGGGACAGCACCGGGGACAAGUGGAACAGCACCAGAGGACGGGACAAACGGGACUGGGGCGAAGGCAGACAGCAUAGCGCCGAGAAACAGAAGGGACAGUGUCUAGCAUAGCUGACAAGUGAAGUGCCUUACGAGACACUGGAGCAGUGAGACGCAAGCGACGUGAAAAACGACGGACAAUUUGUUGGCACCAGAGCAACAUGUGAUCAAACAGACGAGGGACAUGUGCGACAGCACUGGCGUGGGCAAAGUGCGAGGAAACAGACGCAGCAAUGCCCAGACGGACGAGAGGAGUGGGUGACCGAACGGGCGACGAGCACCAGACCUGACGUAACCUGACCUAACCUGGGACCCCGACGCGGGACACGCACAUCCGACCAUUUCGUGAAGGGACGUCGACAUUGCAUGUUACGCAGAGGCGCUUGACCGCGUGAGGGUCGUGUGGCAAGUUGACGCAUCCGCGCCCGUUGGUCGGAGCGCUCGGAAGCUGUGCUGCGCGGGGCGAGCAGCGCUCGGAGGGCGGAGCAGUUCCAGCCGGCGGUGCAGGGGAGCGCACCGAACCCGCUGGACACCGCCUGAGGACAACGGAGCUUGGUGUCUUUUGAGCUUUCCAUCGCGUGGUUACGUGCGGUAUUUAAGGUUAGGGCGCGUUAAGAUUUGACGUUAUUGGCUACGCCAGAGCUUCACGGGCCCUUGUCCCGUGCGAGCGUCACGGGCCCUUGUCCCGUGCGAGCGUCACGGGCCCUUGUCUCGUGCGAGCGUCACGGGCCCUUGUCUUGUGCGAGCGUCACGGGCCCUUGUCUCGUGCGAGCGUCACGGGCCCUUGUCUCGUGCGAGCGUCACGGGCCCUUGUCUCGUGCGAGCGUCACGGGCCCUUGUCUCGUGCGAGCGUCACGGGCCCUUGUCUCGUGCGAGCGUUACAGGCUGUUGCUAUGUAGGAGCGCUGCGGGCCGUUGUUUCGUGCAAACGUUACGGGCCCUUGUUCCGGGCAAGCGUUACGGGCCCUUGUCUCGUGCGAGCGUUACGGGCCGUUGCUAUGUAGAAGCGUUACGGGCCGUUGUUUCGUGCAAGCGUUACUGGCCCUUGUUCCGUGCGAGCGUUACGGGCCCUUGUCUCGUGCGAGCGUUACGGGCCCUUGUCUCGUGCAAGCGCUACGGGCCGUUGCUAUGUAGGAGCGUUACGGGACCCUUGCCUUGUGCGAGCGUUAUGGGCCGUUGUUUUUUUU